AGCGAACGUUAGCGGCGGGCUUAACACAUGCAAGUCGAGCGAGAGAGUGACUUCGGUCAUGAGUAAAGCGGCAGACGGGUGAGGAACACGUAGGUAAUUUUCCGUUUAGUGGGGGACAACGGUCCGAAAGGACCGCUAAUACCGCAUACGUUCCUUGGGGCUUUGGCCCUGGGGAGGAAAGCUGGGCAACUGGCGCUAAAUGAGAAGCCUGCGUCGCAUCAGCUAGUUGGUGGGGUAAUGGCCUACCAAGGCGAAGACGCGUAGCUGGUCUGAGAGGAUGAUCAGCCACACUGG
RNAcentral lists this ribosomal RNA (294 nucleotides) under uncultured bacterium. RNAcentral describes it as "partial 16S ribosomal RNA". It matches the Rfam family "Bacterial small subunit ribosomal RNA", at positions 29 to 316 of the family's 1533-position model. The record is from RNAcentral.